ACCAACGAUGGUUCAGUGGGUAACGUGCGCGCCUAUCACGCGGAAAUCACCGGUUCGAAACCGGUUCUGGUC
This 72-nucleotide transfer RNA is filed under the name Aedes aegypti (yellow fever mosquito). Its description in RNAcentral is "partial tRNA-OTHER". Lineage: Eukaryota; Metazoa; Arthropoda; Insecta; Diptera; Culicidae. The record is from RNAcentral.